CUAUACAUGCAAGUCGAACGAACGGAGGAAGAGCUUGCUCUUCCAAWGUUAGUGGCGGACGGGUGAGUAACACGUGGGCAACCUGCCUGUAAGUUGGGGAUAACUCCGGGAAACCGGGGCUAAUACCGAAUGAUAAAGUGUGGCGCAUGCCACGCUUUUGAAAGAUGGUUUCGGCUAUCGCUUACAGAUGGGCCCGCGGUGCAUUAGCUAGUUGGUAGGGUAAUGGCCUACCAAGGCAACGAUGCAUAGCCGACCUGAGAGGGUGAUCGGCCACACUGGGACUGAGACACGGCCCAGACUCCUACGGGAGGCAGCAGUAGGGAAUCUUCCGCAAUGGACGAAAGUCUGACGGAGCAACGCCGCGUGUAUGAAGAAGGUUUUCGGAUCGUAAAGUACUGUUGUUAGAGAAGAACAAGGAUAAGAGUAACUGCUUGUCCCUUGACGGUAUCUAACCAGAAAGCCACGGCUAACUACGUGCCAGCAGCCGCGGUAAUACGUAGGUGGCAAGCGUUGUCCGGAUUUAUUGGGCGUAAAGCGCGCGCAGGCGGUCUUUUAAGUCUGAUGUGAAAGCCCCCGGCUUAACCGGGGAGGGUCAUUGGAACUGGAAGACUGGAGUGCAGAGAGGAGAGUGGAUUCCA
RNAcentral lists this ribosomal RNA (638 nucleotides) under Listeria monocytogenes. RNAcentral describes it as "bacterial SSU rRNA". It matches the Rfam family "Bacterial small subunit ribosomal RNA", at positions 49 to 670 of the family's 1533-position model. The record is from RNAcentral. Lineage: Bacteria; Bacillati; Bacillota; Bacilli; Caryophanales; Listeriaceae.